This 85-nucleotide transfer RNA is filed under the name Acinetobacter baumannii. RNAcentral's name for it is "tRNA-Leu". It matches the Rfam family "tRNA". From Rfam's summary of the family: Transfer RNA (tRNA) molecules are approximately 80 nucleotides in length. Their secondary structure includes four short double-helical elements and three loops (D, anti-codon, and T loops). Lineage: Bacteria; Pseudomonadati; Pseudomonadota; Gammaproteobacteria; Moraxellales; Moraxellaceae. The record is from RNAcentral.
GGGGGCGUGGCGAAAUUGGUAGACGCACUGGAUUUAGGUUCCAGCGCCGCAAGGUUUAAGAGUUCGAGUCUCUUCGCCCCCACCA